CUGACUACCCCUCUACUCCAGAGCCCACCUUUUCUGCUCUGGAAGCUUUCAGAAGCUGUCCUCAAUCAGGUCCAGACGAGGAAGGCCACUCUCUGAAUGACUCAGUUGACAGGGCUUGAUGUAGUCCAAGAUGGCUCCGACUUGCUGGAUAGGCCAGGAUAGCCUGAACUCUCUUUCUCCCUGUCUCUAACUUCAGAGUGCUGGUUUGCAGGGUGAACGGCCAUGUCAUUUUCUUUGACUUUAUACCGUAAACUCAUGACUCAAUGACAAGAAGAGCUUCCAGAGCCUCGGGCAGGCAGCCACAGCACCUGGUCCACCCUGUCCUUUUUCUAAGACUCUGAGGAGGUACAGGGCCAGGAGGGCCUGCAUGUGGAAUGGCCUCUGCUGGCACACGUCUUCCAACACUUGGUUCCUGGCUACUGGUGCUAAGGUUUGGGAGGCUGAGGAGAUUUGGGUGUAGAGCCUCACUGGUAAACUAGGUCACUAGAGGUGAAUUCUGCUCUGCUUCUCCACCAUGGUGGACUGAAAACUCGGGGGCUGUGAGAUGAAAUAAACCCUUCUUCCUGUAAGUGG
RNAcentral lists this long non-coding RNA (573 nucleotides) under Mus caroli (Ryukyu mouse). RNAcentral's name for it is "predicted gene, 44107 (MGP_CAROLIEiJ_G0006399.1)". The record is from RNAcentral. Lineage: Eukaryota; Metazoa; Chordata; Mammalia; Rodentia; Muridae.